CGCCUGGGGAGUACGGCCGCAAGGUUAAAACUCAAAUGAAUUGACGGGGGCCCGCACAAGCGGUGGAGCAUGUGGUUUAAUUCGACGCAACGCGAAGAACCUUACCUGGCCUUGACAUGCAGAGAACUUUCCAGAGAUGGAUUGGUGCCUUCGGGAACUCUGACACAGGUGCUGCAUGGCCGUCGUCAGCUCGUGUCGUGAGAUGUUGGGUUAAGUCCCGUAACGAGCGCAACCCCUAUCCCUAGUUGCUAGCAGUUCGGCUGAGAACUCUAGGGAGACUGCCGGUGACAAACCGGAAGAAGGUGGGGAUGACGUCAGGUCAUCAUGGCCCUUACGGCCAGGGCUACACACGUGCUACAAUGGUGCGCACAGAGGGCUGCAAACCCGCGAGGGGGAGCCAAUCUCACAAAACGCAUCGUAGUCCGGAUCGCAGUCUGCAACUCGACUGCGUGAAGUCGGAAUCGCUAGUAAUCGUGAAUCAGAAUGUCACGGUGAAUACGUUCCCGGGCCUUGUACACACCGCCCGUCACACCAUGGGAGUGGAUUGCACCAGAAGUGGUUAGUCUAACCUUCGGGAGGACGAUCACCACGGUGUGGUUCAUGACUGGGGUGAAGUCGUAACAAGGUAACCGUA
Molecule: ribosomal RNA, 634 nt
Filed under: uncultured Marinobacter sp.
Lineage: Bacteria; Pseudomonadati; Pseudomonadota; Gammaproteobacteria; Pseudomonadales; Marinobacteraceae
Description: bacterial SSU rRNA
Rfam family: Bacterial small subunit ribosomal RNA
Source: RNAcentral